This 69-nucleotide transfer RNA is filed under the name Cricetulus griseus (Chinese hamster). It matches the Rfam family "tRNA". Rfam says of the family: Transfer RNA (tRNA) molecules are approximately 80 nucleotides in length. Their secondary structure includes four short double-helical elements and three loops (D, anti-codon, and T loops). The record is from Rfam by way of RNAcentral. Lineage: Eukaryota; Metazoa; Chordata; Mammalia; Rodentia; Cricetidae.
GGAGAGAUGGCUCAGUGGUUAAGAGCACUUGUUCUUGCAGAGGACUGGGUUCAAGUCCCAGUCCCCACA